Molecule: non-coding RNA, 2412 nt
Filed under: Pseudacris regilla (Pacific treefrog)
Lineage: Eukaryota; Metazoa; Chordata; Amphibia; Anura; Hylidae
Description: partial contains 12S ribosomal RNA, tRNA-Val, and 16S ribosomal RNA
Rfam family: Bacterial small subunit ribosomal RNA (bases 11-949)
Source: RNAcentral
UUUAGACACAAAGGUUUGGUCCUAGCCUUGAAAUCAAUUAUUACUUAAUAUACACAUGCAAGUCUCCGCACCCCUGUGAAAACGCCCUUUACCUCCCACAGAAAUAAGGAGCCGGUAUCAGGCACAAUCAUUAGCCCAAGACACCUAGCUAUGCCACACCCACAAGGGAACUCAGCAGUGAUUAACAUUGAACAUAAGCGACAGCUUGACUCAGUUAAAGUAAAAAGAGCCGGCAAAUCUGGUGCCAGCCGCCGCGGUUACACCAUGAGGCUCAAAUUGAUCUUUUUCGGCGUAAAGCGUGAUUAAAGUUAUCAAAACAAUUAUAGUUGUAUUAAAACUAAGCCGUAAUACGCUUGUCUUUAAGAAACUCAAUAAACGAAAGUUACUAUAUUUAUCCCAACUUGAACCCACGACAGCUAGGACACAAACUGGGAUUAGAUACCCCACUAUGCCUAGUCGUAAACUUUUAACUACACCUACAUCGCCAGGGAACUACGAGCAAAGCUUAAAACCCAAAGGACUUGACGGUACCCCACAUCCACCUAGAGGAGCCUGUCCUAUAAUCGAUAACCCCCGCUAAACCUCACCAUUUUUGGUUAAUCAGCCUGUAUACCUCCGUCGUCAGCUUACCUCGUGAGCGAUCUAUAGUGAGCUUAAUGUCCACACGUCAAUACGUCAGGUCAAGGUGCAGUAAAUAAAAUGGGAAGAGAUGGGCUACACUCUCUAAUAUAGAAUAUACGAAAGACUAUAUAUGAAACCUAGUCAAAAGGCGGAUUUAGUAGUAAAAAGAGAUCAUUAAGCUCUUUUUAACACGGCACUGGGGUGUGUACACACCGCCCGUCACCCUCUUCAAUACCAAGAAAUAGUAUAUAACACAUAUCAGUAAACUAGAAGAGGCAAGUCGUAACAUGGUAAGUAUACCGGAAGGUGUGCUUGGAAACAAAAUGUAGCUUAAAUAAAGCCUCUUGCUUACACCAAGAAAAUAUCUGUGGAACUCAGAUCAUUUUGAACCAAAAACCUAGCCCCGCUACAAUCUAAUGAACUACAAAAACUAACUCAACUAACCAAAACAUUUUUAUAUUUUAGUAAAGGCGAUUAAAAAAAUUCUAUGGAGCUAUAAUGACAGUACCGCAAGGGAAAAGUGAAAUAAUAAUGAAAUAAUUUUAAGUACACUAAAGUAGAGAUUUAACCUCGUACCUUUUGCAUCAUGGUUUAACUAGUCAAAUCAAGCGAAACGACUUACAGUCUGACCUCCCGAAACUAAGCGAGCUACUUCAGGGCAGCUUAUUGAGCAAACCCGUCUCUGUUGCAAAAGAGUGGGAAGACCCUCAAGUAGCGGUGAUAGACCUAACGAGCUUAGUGAUAGCUGGUUAUUCAAGAAAAGGAUUUUAGUCCAGCCUAAAGAUCUAUUAAUAAUCUUAAUAUAACAACUACUUUAGAGUAAUUCAAAUAAGGUACAGCCUAUUUGAAACAGGAUACAACCUCAAUCAAAGGGUAAUUAUACGUUUUAACAACCAAGUAGGCCCAAAAGCAGCCAUCUUUAAAAUAGCGUCAAAGCUUAAUUGUUUAUACUACUAAUACCAAAAAUAACUUAGAACCCUUCACUACUAUUGAAUAAUUCUAUAUAUUUAUAGAACAUUUUAUGUUAAAACUAGUAACAAGAAGAAGACCUUCUCUUAAAUGUAAAUGUAAGUCAAAAAGGACUAACCAGUGACUAUUAACACCAAUGAACAAAAAUUAACAACUCACAAGAAAACCUUACUUUUUAUUAUGUUAACCUAACACAAGAACAUUUCAAGAAAGAUUAAAAGAAAAAGAAGGAACUCGGCAAAAAUUAACCUCGCCUGUUUACCAAAAACAUCGCCUCUUGAGUAUACUUAUAAGAGGUCCAGCCUGCCCAGUGACUCUGUUCAACGGCCGCGGUAUCCUAACCGUGCGAAGGUAGCGUAAUCACUUGUUCUUUAAAUAAGGACUAGUAUGAAUGGCACCACGAAGGUUACACUGUCUCCUUUCUCUAAUCAGUGAAACUAAUCUCCCCGUGAAGAAGCGGGGAUUUAAGUAUAAGACGAGAAGACCCUAUGGAGCUUUAAACUAAAUAACACUUGCUCUUAUAUUCCUAUAUUUGAGAAUACUAACACCUAUUUUAGCUUUAUGAUUUUUAGUUUUAGGUUGGGGUGACCGCGGAGCAAAACAAAACCUCCACAUUGAAUGGGGUUUCACACCCUGAGCAACGAGCUACAACUCUACGCACCAAUAAAUUGACAUAAAUUGACCCAAUAUUUUGAUCAACGAACCAAGUUACCCUAGGGAUAACAGCGCAAUCCGCUUCAAGAGCUCCUAUCGACAAGCGGGUUUACGACCUCGAUGUUGGAUCAGGGUAUCCCAGUGGUGUAGCCGCUACUAAAGGUCGUU